RNAcentral lists this ribosomal RNA (240 nucleotides) under uncultured bacterium. RNAcentral's name for it is "partial 16S ribosomal RNA". It matches the Rfam family "Bacterial small subunit ribosomal RNA", at positions 94 to 334 of the family's 1533-position model. The record is from RNAcentral.
AGCGGCGGACGGGUGAGUAACGCGUGGGUAACCUGCCUCAUACAGGGGGAUAACAGUCGGAAACGGCUGCUAAUACCGCAUAAGCGCACAGUACCGCAUGGUACGGUGUGAAAAACUCCGGUGGUAUGAGAUGGACCCGCGUCUGAUUAGGUAGUUGGUGGGGUAACGGCCUACCAAGCCGACGAUCAGUAGCCGACCUGAGAGGGUGACCAGCCACAUUGGGACUGAGACACGGCCCAA